RNAcentral lists this non-coding RNA (149 nucleotides) under Platyophrya macrostoma. The record is from RNAcentral. Lineage: Eukaryota; Ciliophora; Colpodea; Cyrtolophosidida; Platyophryidae.
GAAAGGAGAGAAGGUAUCAAAACAUUCACCUCAAAAAAGGAGCACAACCAUUUGAAGUGAAAUGAAGUGAAGCACAUUAUGCGGUAUUUCUCUUCUCUCUCUCUCUCUUUCUUUUCCUUUUUUUCCCCUUUCCCACCAAUGUCGUGUGU